Molecule: ribosomal RNA, 420 nt
Filed under: soil fungal sp. DM2-111
Lineage: Eukaryota; Fungi
Description: eukaryotic LSU rRNA
Rfam family: Eukaryotic large subunit ribosomal RNA
Source: RNAcentral
UUUGGAAGCGGUCCAAGUUCCUUGGAACAGGACGUCACAGAGGGUGAGAAUCCCGUACGUGGUCGCUAGCUAUUGGCGUGUAAAGCCCCUUCGACGAGUCGAGUUGUUUGGGAAUGCAGGUCUAAAUGGGAGGUAAAUUUCUUCUAAAGCUAAAUAUUGGCCAGAGACCGAUAGCGCACAAGUAGAGUGAUCGAAAGAUGAAAAGCACUUUGGAAAGAGAGUCAAACAGCANGUGAAAUUGUUGAAAGGGAAGCGCUUGCAGCCAGACUUGCUUGCAGUUGCUCAUCCGGGCUUUUGCCCGGUGCACUCUUCUGGAGGCAGGCCAGCAUCAGUUUGGGGGGUGGGAUAAAGGUCUCUGUCACGUACCUCUCUUCGGGGAGGCCUUAUAGGGGAGGCGACAUACCACCAGCCUGGACUGAG